CCUACGGGGGCUGCAGUGGGGAAUAUUGGACAAUGGGCGAAAGCCUGAUCCAGCCAUGCCGCGUGUGUGAAGAAGGCCUUCGGGUUGUAAAGCACUUUCAGUGGGGAAGAAAGCCUUGGGGCUAAUACCCUCGAGGAAGGACAUCACCCACAGAAGAAGCACCGGCUAACUCCGUGCCAGCAGCCGCGGUAAUACGGAGGGUGCGAGCGUUAAUCGGAAUUACUGGGCGUAAAGCGCGCGUAGGCGGUCUGAUAAGCCGGUUGUGAAAGCCCCGGGCUCAACCUGGGAACGGCAUCCGGAACUGUCAGGAUAGAGUGCAGGAGAGGAAGGUAGAAUUCCCGGUGUAGCGGUGAAAUGCGUAGAGAUCAGGAGGAAUACCAGUGGCGAAGGCGGCCUUCUGGACUGACACUGACGCUGAGGUGCGAAAGCGUGGGUAGCAAACAGGAUUAGAUACCCCAGUAGUC
RNAcentral lists this ribosomal RNA (464 nucleotides) under Vreelandella stevensii. Its description in RNAcentral is "partial 16S ribosomal RNA". It matches the Rfam family "Bacterial small subunit ribosomal RNA", at positions 338 to 795 of the family's 1533-position model. The record is from RNAcentral. Lineage: Bacteria; Pseudomonadati; Pseudomonadota; Gammaproteobacteria; Oceanospirillales; Halomonadaceae.